ACCGCGCGGCGGGCGCGGCCCGGCCGCCCGCCUUGCGCUGCUGCUCCGCAAAAGCCCGCGAAGCCUAGCUCCGGGGAAGCAGAGGUUCUGAGGAAAGAGGAGUUGAUGAGCACCAUUCCUCUGAUAUAUGUGACUCUUUCUGUGACAUCCUGACAAAAUGGUGCCUACAGACACAAAAUUCUUCCAGAAAUCUUGGUGACUUCAUAUGGGUUAUAAAAUUAGUCCAUCAAACAAAUGAAGAAUUUGACAACAAUCUGUAGAAGUCUCACAACACUUACAAGGUCUGUUUGAAGGAGCAGUUUGAUUGGAUCACUUGGUACUGAAGAACAUGCAUCGGUGCUCCAAAACUAUUCAUCAUUUUUUUAUCAACUAAUAAAUAA
This is a long non-coding RNA of Haemorhous mexicanus (house finch), 380 nucleotides long. RefSeq lists it as uncharacterized. The record is from RefSeq and is a predicted model, not a curated record. The transcript has 3 exons. Lineage: Eukaryota; Metazoa; Chordata; Aves; Passeriformes; Fringillidae.